This 1422-nucleotide long non-coding RNA is filed under the name Homo sapiens (human). Its description in RNAcentral is "non-protein coding lnc-EIF2S3-3:1". Lineage: Eukaryota; Metazoa; Chordata; Mammalia; Primates; Hominidae. The record is from RNAcentral.
GAAGGCUGUCCCGCGCCCGCGGCGCCCCGCGUCCCGGCUGCCGGCCCGCCACGCCAGCGGUUUCCCACCGAGGAAAACAGGCGGCCGGGCGUCGCGGCCCUGGACUGGGCCCGACGCAGCUUCCCCCGCGGCGCCGCCGUCGGGGCUGAGGACACUCAGCUGUCCUCGUCCCCUUGCAGCGGUCUCUCUCCGCCUGCACGAGCGAUGGGCCCUGAGCCACUGCGGUGCGCCCACCCUCGACAAGUUGAGGGCUAGGAAGCCAGGAAAGUGUCUUUUUGCAUCUUGGCCACGGUGGGGGUGGGGGAAUCGGGGACAACGUGGAGGGAGCUUUUCCAUAGCUACCUGUUAUAAAAGUGACUAGAUCUGCGCCAAAUGACAUCAUUUUUUGUAAGGCAACUUGCAGUGGACUAUUGCGUCACUGUCCACUUGGCUUACUGCACAACAAUUACACGUUUCAGAAAUCGAUUUCCCAAGGGUGGGAAAAUUCAUAAAAAAUUGCAUGUCUGCACCACCCGGAGAUAAUGCCGGAUUUAAAAAAGCUGUCUCUACUUGCGUCAAAAUAAUCAAGAACGAACAUUCAGAGGGCAGUGAUUUUUGUUGUUCGUUUUUUAUAGAAUUCUAGCUAGUACUUUUUAAAUAUUACCUUUUCUUGACAAGAAUAUAAAACUAGACUAUAGGACUGUUUUGUAAAUUUAUUAUGGCAUCUCUUUCUGGGAAAAGUGUAGAUGACGGAAAUACACAGUUGGAAGCCCGUGGAUCUACAAUUAACCUUAAAUUAGGGCAUCCAUUGCCCAUAGCAGAUCCUAAACUGAGGUAUUUCGGCUUCCCCCACCCCCACCCCCCGCCGCCAUUUUCUCUCUAGACCAAUAUCCCGAUGAACUUUCCGUGAGAGGUGUCGCUAAAAGCGAUAAUUAUCUCUUUCUAGCAAACUUGAACAUACCAUCUUUCCCAAGAGGCCAAAAUAGCACACGGUGUACUGUUUUGCUGAAGUAGACUACUUCGUGGGAGAGAUAACACAAUCACUUCAAUCUUUUGGAAAUACGCUUCCUUAUUCCGAUUUAAACUAUAACAAGCUUUAAAAAAACUGUAAGACACUGAAAUUCCCAAGUUGUUCACACUUUCUUUCCAUCUUUUCCAAUAGCUCCUUUAAGAUAUUUCUGUUCAUUAUUUAAAAAUCCCUGCUUGCCAUAUUUGUAUCUAUUACUACAUGACAAAUUACCCCAGAAUUUCACAUUAAAACAAAUUUUUAAAAUUAAAUCAUAAAAUAAACUUUAAAAAUGCAUACAUUCCACUUCUGAAUAUUUAAAUGUUCAUGCAUUAUUCCCGAACAUCUAAACGCUGAGUUUGGAUUUUUGUACAUUAACUAACAUUUUAAGCUAUACAUUACUAUGUGGCACUGACCUGUCUAAAGAGAGGCUUCUG